GACGAACGCUGGCGGCGUGCCUAAUACAUGCAAGUCGAACGAAGCUUUUUUAACUGGUGCUUGCACCGACUUAAACAACUGAGUGGCGAACGGGUGAGUAACACGUGGGUAACCUGCCCCAAAGCGGGGGAUAACAUUUGGAAACAGAUGCUAAUACCGCAUAACCACAGAAACCACAUGGUUUCUGUGUCAAAGAUGGUUUCGGCUAUCACUUUGGGAUGGACCCGCGGCGUAUUAGCUAGUUGGUAAGGUAAUGGCUUACCAAGGCAAUGAUACGUAGCCGAACUGAGAGGUUGAUCGGCCACAUUGGGACUGAGACACAGCCCAAACUCCUACGGGAGGCAGCAGUAGGGAACCUUCCACAAUGGACGAAAGUCUGAUGGAGCAACGCCGCGUGAGUGAAGAAGGUUUUCGGAUCGUAAAACUCUGUUGUCAGAGAAGAACGUGUGCGAGAGUAACUGUUCGUGCAGUGACGGUAUCUGGCCAGAAAGCCACGGCUAACUACGUGCCAGCCGCCGCCGUAA
This 524-nucleotide ribosomal RNA is filed under the name uncultured bacterium. RNAcentral describes it as "partial 16S ribosomal RNA". It matches the Rfam family "Bacterial small subunit ribosomal RNA", at positions 28 to 523 of the family's 1533-position model. The record is from RNAcentral.